UUAUUAGAACCAUAAUAUUAAAUUCACACCCAACUUCCCUAAUUUUAUAUAAAAGUUCUUAUAUACUGAUACCUAAAUAGCCCCAAAUAAUCUUAUGAAAUUCAACUAUUAUAUUAUUUGUUAUAUAUUACUUACAAUGUACCUGCAAUUACUUACAUUACUAUAUCAUCAAAACCUGCUAAAAGAUCAAAACCCAGCUUAAAAGAAUACAUUACUGCAGUCACAAACCAAACUAUAAGCUCUCCCAUCUAUUAACACUGCUCUCUACAUAAAUGGUCCUUAGGUGAAAUUUCAUUUAAUAUUUUAGAAAAAAACCUUAAUAAUACACUUAUCUACUGUUUUAAAGAACAUUUUAAUAUCAUAAAAUACAUAAAACAAUUAUAUGAAUGCCAAUGCUGGCUUAAUCAUUGGCCCAUUAAGGAAUUCUCUUAUUUACAAAAUAUUUAGUAAACAUACACAUACUUCUCUAACUACCAAUAUUGUAUAUCUAAUCCAAUAUAACUAUGUUGAUUGGGGAGAUCCCCAACAUAGUUAUAUUGGAUUAACAUAGUUCUCAAUAUAGUUCUAGUUCCUGCUCCUUCCCCAUUUUUCCUUUAAGGUUCAAACCUUGUAGUUACCCAUACCAUAUCCAAUUUAUUCUCACUCCUGCUACAUCCAUGGCCAAAUGUAGUCUCAAUGUAACAUUAGCAUGUCUCAUGUUUCUAGUUCCAACCUCCAAAUCCCUAAUUUUCAACUGCAAUUUUUAAUAUAGUUAUAAGCCUUAUUUUAUGUUCAACUGUGGCGGUCACUAUUUCCCGAAGAAAAGUUGUCGUGACCUUCAACCUUGGCGCGGACGGAUACAAAAAAGGGCCCAAGUAGUGCGAAGGAGAAAAAAGGAAGAACAGUUUUUUCUUUGUCUUUGGCCGGAGGCGGUCGACCUAGAAACGUGCUGGGAGACGAGUAAUUAUCAAGGCCUAAACGACUCAGCCGCCUGGAGACAUG
Molecule: long non-coding RNA, 981 nt
Filed under: Androctonus crassicauda
Lineage: Eukaryota; Metazoa; Arthropoda; Arachnida; Scorpiones; Buthidae
Source: RNAcentral